GACAUAUAUUUUUUCAUGAUUGGACACAAAUAUUUCUGAGGACUUUUGUAAAUUGUUAGUGCAGAUAUUAUAGUGUAUGAAAAUUAAAAUAAUUAUUGUGAAGGAAUUUGUUUGAGGCUACCCAUCUAUUUAGGCUAUAAUGCCUUGACUAAAAACCUUUAUUACAAUUUAAUUGUUCCUCAGUGGGACAAGAAAUGCCUUUAUGAAUAUGUUAAAGCAAACAGUAAUGAUAUUGUAGUAUGAGUAAACCUUAACAGUCGAUGGCUAAAGAAUUUGAAUUAGCUCGAUCUUCGGCUCGUUUGGAUUUUUGCCAGAUCGGAUCUCACGAGAAAUAACCUAGUAAAUGUAAAAUACACGUUACGUUUAAGAGCACAGGACAAAAUACUGCACUGUAAAUAAACACUUACCUAGCAAAAAAUUAUAUCUUUAAUUGUGUGCAUUGAUUUUUCCAUUGGUAAUAUGUUUUAGUGGUGUUUGUCUUUAUUACCUCUUGACUUGCAAUAAGGACUACUGUAUUGUCUAUAUACGUAUCAACGUUACAUUGUAUAUCAAUUGUUAUACUGUAGACAAUUAUAAAAGACUAACUGCAGCAUAACAUGCAAUUAAAAGGCAAAAUAUAUAACGCUGUGAAUAGAAUUUGACAAUAUUUAAGCAUUGAUUUUCAGUACUGCAGUUUUAUUGGAUCGGUUUGGAGGAUUAGACUAGGAACAAAUUUGGUGCGGUCGAGAAUUAUGGCUGUUCAAAUACGCCUUGCGUAUAUUGUCAUCCUACUUACCAUUUUGAAUCUCACGCUGUGCCUACCUCUUGGUCCUGUUGGUCCUCGCGGUCCUCCUAUUGGUCUUCAAAGUAACUUGGUUUCCUCAAAGGAAGAAAUGUUUCUUACACGUGUGCGCAGGCAUCUACACAAAGAUGCAAUUCAGCAGAUGAAUGUGGUUCUGCAGACGACAGAAUAAUGAAGAACAUAUUUCAACGAAGGCUAACAAGACAUUCUAGACAACUAACAAGUUGACAUGUAAAGAUUUUAGCUGCAACCCUGAAGAAAUAUUAAACACUGACAAAUAUACAUUCAUAAAGUGUAUUGAGAGCGAUCGUGAACACUAACAAAUAUACAUUCAAUAAAUACAUUGAACGUGAUCGAUCGUGGUAUGUGUUUUAACAAAUAUAGUAGUUUGUAUCGUCAUUUCAAAAUAAUCAUGACUGUUCUCUGUACAUUCAAAAAGUUCUAUUUAACUGUUUUAAACAAAGAUUAACAACUAAACUAUUUUAAACUUUGGCAGUAGUUUACCUGUCAAUAUUAUCAUACUUUUUGUAAUUUGACAUUCCAUUUCUCAAGUUUGGAACAGGCUUUUGUCUUAAACUAACUGUAUAUACAUGCUACAACAGUUUACCCAUAUAAUUCUGUUGAAUAAAGUUAGCAAGAAGUG
Mercenaria mercenaria is the source of this 1424-nucleotide long non-coding RNA. RefSeq lists it as uncharacterized. Lineage: Eukaryota; Metazoa; Mollusca; Bivalvia; Venerida; Veneridae. The transcript has 2 exons. The record is from RefSeq and is a predicted model, not a curated record.